RNAcentral lists this microRNA precursor (96 nucleotides) under Aeromonas veronii. RNAcentral's name for it is "microRNA mir-598". Lineage: Bacteria; Pseudomonadati; Pseudomonadota; Gammaproteobacteria; Aeromonadales; Aeromonadaceae. The record is from RNAcentral.
UGAUGAUGGUCGUGUUCAUGACCAUGUUCAUGACCAUGUUCAUGGUGAUGUUCAUGUUCGUGAUGAUGCUCAUGAUCGUGCUCAUGAUCGUGCUCA